RNAcentral lists this long non-coding RNA (2274 nucleotides) under Marmota monax (woodchuck). The record is from RNAcentral. Lineage: Eukaryota; Metazoa; Chordata; Mammalia; Rodentia; Sciuridae.
CUGGAGGCCAGGGCUGGAGGCCAGGGGGAGGCCAGGGCGGGCGGAGCAGGUGCAGGAGCUGUUGCUGCCAGGCGGCUGCCAGGAACCUCUGCGCUCUGGAAGUGUCCCCUCCUCCUCUCACUCGCCAAGGUCCAUCCAGCCCACAUCAAGUGACAAAGUGGACCGGCCACCUGCGGCCAGACGAGGCUGGAGGGACUCCAGGCGGUGCUGGCAGGUGGCCGGGGCUGUGGUACCGUCCCCUGGGCCUGGCCCGGCGCUGGGCGGAGCAGGUGGCCAGCUGAGCGGGGCCAGGUGUGGGGACAGCCCUGCCCACGAGACCCCGGCUGACCUGUCCCUGCGCCCCUUUGUCCAUGCACACCACGGGGCAGUGCGGGGGACAGAACCAGUGUGAGGUGCCACCAGGGCGUCCCCAGGUGUGGGGACAGAAGCCUGCGUCCCUGGACUCGCUGCCAUGAGGGGUCAGGAGGGCCUCACCCGCCAGACCACGCCACCUCCAAGACGGCCCCCGGGAGGGGAGCAUGGGCCCGGGCGGGUGGCACUGCCGUCCUGCGCUGCGGAACGGGGUCGGGGGUCUCCCUGGGCAGGAGCAUGUGGCCCCCGCAGCUGCCCAUGGCCAGCCGAGGACAGCACUCCCCCAGGGCCGUCCCCAGGCAUCACGGCCUCCCCCUCCCCCGAGGCUCAGGAUCCUGCUCAACGAGGCCCCAGGGCCACCCCCAGGGACCUGGUUUUCACUGCUGUGUGACUGUCACAGCCUGUGCUGGCCACCUGUGUCCCUGCUUGCCUGGCCCCCCUCCCCACAGGCAGGGCCGAGGGCCUGGAGCCCUGGCUGACGCUCGAGCAGCGAGUUCAGGGCCAGGUCCAGGGGCCUCCCGUCCAGCCGGGCCCGGGGCAGCACAGGGACCGGGGACACAGGGAGCCGAGGCCCGGGAGGACGGGAGGGAUGGAGGCCCUGCCCGGGAGGACAGGCGAGCAGGACCUCAACCCAGCAAGACCCCGUGCGGGCAGACCCCUGGGGACCUGCCCCCACUGCCUUGCGCAGCCCCGUGACCUUGCUGUGACCUUGCUCCAUCUUGGCACGGUGCCCUCAAUGCGCUGGGCUCAGCUCCGGGGCAAUCACACUGUCUUUGCGGCCGUCCUGCCCAGCCACUCCCGAGGGCCCGGCACGCACAGCUGCGGGCAGUCUGCGUGUCGAGGACAGGAAGCGUCUGUCUUUAUGUUCCGGCAUUAACUAGCCUCGAUCUUAUUGAAAUGGCAUUUUCUUUCUCCUCCUAAUAACCAAGAAUGUAUUUUUUUAGCUCUUCCGCCAUCACUUGACUCUCAAGUCUGAAUUGUCUGAAGGCUGAAAGUAUUUCUGACUACAUCCACAUUUUAACAUUUUCCUCUCCUGAAAGAGGAAAGUAGGAAAGAAAAAGAAAAAUGAAAAAAUGAUUGUAUUAACAGGAGUAUGGAGAGCAAAAAAGGGGAGGUGAUUAUCAUGCUUUCGCUGCUUGCUGCCUCCCUAGGAGGAGGGUGUCCAACUCCAAAACACUGAAAAACGAAGCAUAAAGAAGCAGCAUUCAGGAUAGGGUAUAACAUGUAACACAUGCCAUUUGUUUAGUUUUCAUUCACAGCAUUUAUGGAGCACCUAAUGUGUAUUGGGUGCUGUCCAAGGUGCUGAAGCGACACACAUGAGCAAAGCAGGUAAUGAUCCCUGCCUUGAGGCACAGAGAAUGUGUGGGGAGACGGUGUCCAGUUAGUGACACGAUUAACCAUGAUGGUUACCAAUUUCAGUGCGAGCUACUCAGCAAGGGAGAGGCGGCCAGAAGAGGACUUCAGCUGACUCCUCAGCUGUGCCGCUCUCUGCCUGCCUGCUCCAUCCUCCCCUGCACGGAGCCCCUGCUGCCCCAGGACCUUUGCACAUGCUGUUCUCUUUACCCAGAAUGCUCUCCCCACCCAGGUCCUUGUGGGUCCAGGAGUGAGGGGCCCCGUGCAGUCCUGAGCAGGGCCAUAUUUGGGGCACACAAGGGACAACCAAGGGGCCAAGGAGCCAGAGGAGAGAGGAAGGACCAGCAUCCACAUGUUGACCACGUGCUGCGUGCGUCCUCAGCUGAGCGCUGGGGCCGCCGGGCAGCCACGGAGGGGAACACUCCCCACCCCUUACAGACGAGGACACAGGUCAGGGACACAGGACUCCCAGGCCACAGGGCUGCCGAGUGCUGUGUCUGGCUGGGACCCAGGGAUCCCUCCGUUGUACCAAAUUCCAGUCCUAAGGGCCCGGCGGAGAGGAGGGCGGAG